GACGAACGCUGGCGGCGUGCCUAACACAUGCAAGUCGAGCGGAGAGGCGGACGGGUGAGGAAUGCCUAGGAAUCUGCCUGGUAGUGGGGGAUAACGUCCGGAAACGGGCGCUAAUACCGCAUACUAUCAGAUGAGCCUAGGUCGGAUUAGCUAGUUGGUGGGGUAAAGGCCUACCAAGGCGACGAACCGUAACUGGUCUGAGAGGAUGAUCAGUCAAACUAGAACUGAGACACGGUCCAGCCUCCUACGGGAGGACGCAGUGGGGAAUAGUGGACAAGGGGCGAAAGCCUGCACCAGCCCUGCCGCGUGUGUGAAGAAGGUCUUCGGAUUGUAAAGCACGUUAAGUUGGGAGGCGUUACCAACAGAAUAAGCACCGGCUAACUUCGUGCCAGCAGCCGCGGUAAUUC
RNAcentral lists this ribosomal RNA (407 nucleotides) under uncultured bacterium. Its description in RNAcentral is "partial 16S ribosomal RNA". It matches the Rfam family "Bacterial small subunit ribosomal RNA", at positions 28 to 526 of the family's 1533-position model. The record is from RNAcentral.